RNAcentral lists this ribosomal RNA (648 nucleotides) under uncultured bacterium. RNAcentral describes it as "bacterial SSU rRNA". It matches the Rfam family "Bacterial small subunit ribosomal RNA", at positions 43 to 674 of the family's 1533-position model. The record is from RNAcentral.
UUUGUCUUUAACUGAUAUGAAGAGCUUGCUCUGAUUUGAUCCCUAUCUGACAAAGAGUGGCGAACGGGUGAGUAACACGUGGGUAACCUACCUCUUAGCAGGGGAUAACAUUUGGAAACAAGUGCUAAUACCGUAUAAUACCAACAACCGCAUGGUUGUUGGUUGAAAGAUGGUUCUGCUAUCACUAAGAGAUGGACCCGCGGUGCAUUAGCUAGUUGGUAAGGUAACGGCUUACCAAGGCAAUGAUGCAUAGCCGAGUUGAGAGACUGAUCGGCCACAAUGGGACUGAGACACGGCCCAUACUCCUACGGGAGGCAGCAGUAGGGAAUCUUCCACAAUGGGCGCAAGCCUGAUGGAGCAACGCCGCGUGUGUGAUGAAGGGUUUCGGCUCGUAAAACACUGUUAUAAGAGAAGAACGGCACUGAGAGUAACUGUUCAGUGUGUGACGGUAUCUUACCAGAAAGGAACGGCUAAAUACGUGCCAGCAGCCGCGGUAAUACGUAUGUUCCAAGCGUUAUCCGGAUUUAUUGGGCGUAAAGCGAGCGCAGACGGUUAUUUAAGUCUGAAGUGAAAGCCCUCAGCUCAACUGAGGAAUGGCUUUGGAAACUGGAUGACUUGAGUGCAGUAGAGGAAAGUGGAACUCCAUGU